AGAGUUUGAUCAUGGCUCAGAGCGAACGCUGGCGGCAGGCCUAACACAUGCAAGUCGAGCGCCCGUAGCAAUACGGGAGCGGCAGACGGGAGAGUAACACGUGGGAACGCGCCCUUCGGUUCGGAAUAACUCAGGGAAACUUGAGCUAAUACCGGAUACGCCCUUACGGGGAAAGAUUCAUUGCCGAAGGAACGGCCCGCGUCCGAUUAGCUAGUGGUGAGGUAACGCUCACCNGGCGACGAUCGGUAGCUGGUCUGAGAGGAUGCCCAGCCUCAUUGGGACUGAGACACGGCCCAAAUCCUACGGGAGGCAGCAGUGGGGAAUAUUGGACAAUGGGCGCAAGCCUGAUCCAGCCAUGCCGCGUGAGUGAUGAAGGCCUUAGGGUUGUAAAGCUCUUUUAGCAGGGAAGAUAAAGACGGUACCUGCAGAAAAAGCCCCCGGCUAACUUCGUGCCAGCAGCCGCGGUAAUACGAAGGGGGCUAGCGUUGCUCGGAAUUACUGGGCGUAAAGCGCACGUAGGCGGCUUCUUAAGUCGGUGGUGAAAUCCUGGAGCUCAACUCCAGAACUGCCUUCGAUACUGGGAAGCUCGAGUCCGGGAGAGGUGAGUGGAACUGCGAGUGUAGAGGUGAAAUUCGUAGAUAUUCGCAAGAACACCAGUGGCGAAGGCGGCUCACUGGCCCGGUACUGACGCUGAGGUGCGAAAGCGUGGGGAGCAAACAGGAUUAGAUACCCUAGUAGUCC
Molecule: ribosomal RNA, 741 nt
Filed under: uncultured bacterium
Lineage: Bacteria
Description: bacterial SSU rRNA
Rfam family: Bacterial small subunit ribosomal RNA
Source: RNAcentral